This 189-nucleotide ribosomal RNA is filed under the name Triticum aestivum (bread wheat). RNAcentral describes it as "partial small subunit ribosomal RNA". The record is from RNAcentral. Lineage: Eukaryota; Viridiplantae; Streptophyta; Magnoliopsida; Poales; Poaceae.
AUGGGUCAGAGCCCCUUGAUCCGGCUGCCGGAGGAGGAGCAAGUUCAGCUACUUGUAACGACCCAUGGCAGCAAUAGGAAGGAACAGCUUGGCAAGUCUACAAAAGCUACAAACAAAUACUACAAAAACUCAAGCAAGGACGAUCUAGUUUUGAGGGCGACACUAGACUCAAUCACUAGAAUGGGAUGA